RNAcentral lists this long non-coding RNA (620 nucleotides) under Gallus gallus (chicken). Its description in RNAcentral is "lncRNA (ENSGALG00010022047.1)". Lineage: Eukaryota; Metazoa; Chordata; Aves; Galliformes; Phasianidae. The record is from RNAcentral.
GCACACAGUCAUCAUUGUCAUCAGCAACUGGAGAUGGACUAGAAGAAUGUAACGGAGCACACAUCUGGCAGCGUGACAUUAUUCCUAUGGGGUGCAAUGUGCCCUCUGUGCACGGAAUCAUCACUGUGGAUUUCUGCUUCAGUCCUGUGGGCAUGAGCUGUACUGUGUGUGCACUGAGGAGAGCCAGAAAGGAGCACGGAGUCAUCACCUGAGGGGAAACAAAAUUCAGAAACGAGGAGGGGAAAUUUCGGUGCUUAUUUUUAGACUCUGUGGUGAAUACAGUGAGCGGAAGGAAAGAAGAUACCAUCUUAUCAAAGGAUCUUCUGGUUUCCUUUAUAAACAGCUAAGAAGCAGCUUUACCACUUCCCUCAGUAUUGAGCGAAGGCCUUUUGGAAGGACAAUAGAUGAUGUGUCUACCAGAAUUCUCUUUGGCUGUCUUAGAAUGUGUCCUCACUUUGCGUGUCAAAAAAAACAGAUACUGCCUUAAAGCCAGAUGCUUCUAGUUAGUUUGCAGUGUUGUAUUUUAAUCUGACAUGGGGAAAGAAGAGUUUGGUCUUUGACUCAGGAAACCUGCUUUUGUCACAGCUCCUGAAGCUGUCCUUGUGACUGACUUCAUGUGA